Non-coding RNA from Picea glauca (white spruce), 324 nucleotides. Lineage: Eukaryota; Viridiplantae; Streptophyta; Pinopsida; Pinales; Pinaceae. The record is from Rfam.
AGUCAAUCCUAAGAGAUGGGAAAUCCUUGUAUCAAGGGUUCACUCUGCAUGAACAUAGAAAGAGAAUUGGGUUAAUAUUCCUGAACCGGGACAUGGUGGUGGAUGACAAUGUUAGGAAAUUUGGAGAUGUCAUCGGGGUCCUGGGAAGAGUUAUCUUUUCUUUUUAAUGACUUUCCCACCCUGAAAUCGGUUCAACCAGAGAUAGGGUCCAACAUCUGGAAGAGAACCACACUUCUUGUGGUUUUUGGUGCCCCCUCAGUGACCAUUGAAAAUAUGGAGAACCGAGUACCAUCCAUACCCGAUCAUAAUCAUAUAUGCCUCCUU